CAGCAGCCACGGUAAUACGGAGGGCGCGAGCGUUACCCGGAUUUACUGGGCGUAAAGGGCGUGUAGGCGGCCUGGGGCGUCCCACGUGAAAGGCCACGGCUCAACCGUGGAGGAGCGUGGGAUACGCUCAGGCUAGAGGGUGGGAGAGGGUGGUGGAAUUCCCGGAGUAGCGGUGAAAUGCGCAGAUACCGGGAGGAACGCCGAUGGCGAAGGCAGCCACCUGGUCCACUUCUGACGCUGAGGCGCGAAAGCGUGGGGAGCAAACCGGAUUAGAUACCCCCGUAGUCCCUGUCUCUUAUAC
This 301-nucleotide ribosomal RNA is filed under the name uncultured bacterium. RNAcentral's name for it is "partial 16S ribosomal RNA". It matches the Rfam family "Bacterial small subunit ribosomal RNA", at positions 509 to 807 of the family's 1533-position model. The record is from RNAcentral.